AGUGAACGCUGGCGGUAGGCCUAACACAUGCAAGUCGAACGGCAGCACAGUAAGAGCUUGCUCUUACGGGUGGCGAGUGGCGGACGGGUGAGGAAUACAUCGGAAUCUACUUUUUCGUGGGGGAUAACGUAGGGAAACUUACGCUAAUACCUCAUACGCCCUACGGGUGAAAGCAGGGGAUCUUCGUACCUUGCGCGAUUGAAUGAGCCGAUGUCGGAUUAGCUAGUUGGCGGGGUAAAGGCCCACCAAGGCGACGAUCCGUAGCUGGUCUGAGAGGAUGAUCAGCCACACUGGAACUGAGACACGGUCCAGACUCCUACGGGAGGCAGCAGUGGGGAAUAUUGGACAAUGGGCGCAAGCCUGAUCCAGCCAUACCGCGUGGGUGAAGAAGGCCUUCGGGUUGUAAAGCCCUUUUGUUGGGAAAGAAAAGCAGCAGGUUAAUACCCCGCUGUUCUGACGGUACCCAAAGAAUAAGCACCGGCUAACUUCGUG
RNAcentral lists this ribosomal RNA (492 nucleotides) under uncultured bacterium. RNAcentral's name for it is "partial 16S ribosomal RNA". It matches the Rfam family "Bacterial small subunit ribosomal RNA", at positions 29 to 507 of the family's 1533-position model. The record is from RNAcentral.